UCUGUGGUGGGCCAGUGGUAAGUCUCUGUGCUCCCAAUGCAGGGGGCCCAGGUUCGUUCCCUGGCCACACAC
This 72-nucleotide transfer RNA is filed under the name Ovis aries (sheep). It matches the Rfam family "tRNA". From Rfam's summary of the family: Transfer RNA (tRNA) molecules are approximately 80 nucleotides in length. Their secondary structure includes four short double-helical elements and three loops (D, anti-codon, and T loops). Lineage: Eukaryota; Metazoa; Chordata; Mammalia; Artiodactyla; Bovidae. The record is from Rfam by way of RNAcentral.